This 444-nucleotide ribosomal RNA is filed under the name Acinetobacter sp. RNAcentral describes it as "bacterial SSU rRNA". It matches the Rfam family "Bacterial small subunit ribosomal RNA", at positions 76 to 513 of the family's 1533-position model. Lineage: Bacteria; Pseudomonadati; Pseudomonadota; Gammaproteobacteria; Moraxellales; Moraxellaceae. The record is from RNAcentral.
UAGCUUGCUACCUAACCUAGCGGCGGACGGGUGAGUAAUGCUUAGGAAUCUGCCAUUUAGUGGGGGACAACAUUCCGAAAGGAAUGCUAAUACCGCAUACGUUCCUACGGGAGAAAGCAGGGGAUCUUCGGACCUUGCGCUAAAUGAUGAGCCUAAGUCGGAUUAGCUAGUUGGUGGGGUAAAGGCCUACCCAAGGCGACGAUCUGUAGCGGGUCUGAGAGGAUGAUCCGCCACACUGGGACUGAGACACGGCCCAGACUCCUACGGGAGGCAGCAGUGGGGAAUAUUGGACAAUGGGCGGAAGCCUGAUCCAGCCAUGCCGCGUGUGUGAAGAAGGCCUUUUGGUUGUAAAGCACUUUAAGCGAGGAGGAGGCUACUAGUACUAAUACUACUGGAUAGUGGACGUUACUCGCAGAAUAAGCACCGGCUAACUCUGUGCCAGCA